This 278-nucleotide long non-coding RNA is filed under the name Elaeis guineensis (African oil palm). RNAcentral's name for it is "long non-coding RNA (EGUI_LNC039167)". Lineage: Eukaryota; Viridiplantae; Streptophyta; Magnoliopsida; Arecales; Arecaceae. The record is from RNAcentral.
UGUGCUCUCGUUCUUGGCAUGCUCUCUUUUUUCUUUAAUUAGGCCGUGGUCUUUCUUCUAGUAUCAAUCUAUUACUGCAAGACUCCGAUUUAAAGUAGAUGCGGCUAAGAUCAGACUUCUUCCAACUUGAGAGCUUGGCACUGAUCCAGAGGGCUGGGAUGCCAAAGAGAACCUACAAGUGAAAUCCACUCUCAUUGGAGAUUCUCUGAUUGAGGACCCUUUAAUACUUAAAUUGAUGGAGCUUGAGAACAACAGAGGAAAGAAAGUGAGGGGGAGAG